GAACUCGCAGGGGAGGGGCCACGUUCGGGAGGGUGUCCCUCCCAGGGCGAGGCUCAGCUAUCGCCCUCCGGCUGUAUUGACUCCUGCAAAUCCCCCAAACAUAACAAUCGAAAGUGCAUAAUUUCUGCUAGUGCAAGUGGAGGAGCUGGGAGCUCCCAUCCCUCGG
Molecule: small nuclear RNA, 166 nt
Organism: Paramormyrops kingsleyae
Lineage: Eukaryota; Metazoa; Chordata; Actinopteri; Osteoglossiformes; Mormyridae
Gene: U1
Rfam family: U1 spliceosomal RNA
About the family: U1 is a small nuclear RNA (snRNA) component of the spliceosome (involved in pre-mRNA splicing).
Source: Ensembl